RNAcentral lists this long non-coding RNA (1118 nucleotides) under Musa acuminata (dwarf banana). Its description in RNAcentral is "long non-coding RNA (MACU_LNC006282)". The record is from RNAcentral. Lineage: Eukaryota; Viridiplantae; Streptophyta; Magnoliopsida; Zingiberales; Musaceae.
AAGCCCCCCUGAGAGAAGUAAGGAAGAAGAUGGCGGCAGAAGGGAGUCGCACGGUGGGGAUCGGGAUGGACUACUCACCGACGAGCAAAGUGGCAGUCCGAUGGGCCGUCGACAACCUCGUCUGCGCCGGUGACCAUGUCGUGCUGAUCCAUGUCCUGUCCAAGUCUGAUCACCACACGGAGAAGCAGCUUUGGGAAGAACAUGGAUCACGUACGUCUCUCCCCUGCCCCGAUCUCCUCUCUCAUAUACAUCUAUGAACGAAAACUUCCUUGUGUUGACUCGUUUCAUCCUCCAGCUCUGAUUCCUCUUGGUGAAUUUGAGGACAUGAACCUGACGGUGCGAUAUGGGAUCAGCCCGGACGGCGAGGUCUUGGAUAUCCUGCACACUGCAUCCGAGACCAAAGGGGUAUUAUUGUUUACUCGUUCCGGUCCAUGAACAGCCGAGCAAAAUCCAGUCGAACGAUCUGCAGCUAUAACACACGGCUCAUCUUCCGCAGGUGAAAGUGGUCUCGAAGAUCUACUGGGGCGAUCCGAGGGAGAAGAUCUGUGAUGCAGUGGAGGAACUGAAGCUGGACUCACUCGUGGUCGGGAGCAGGGGCUUAGGAGCCAUUAAAAGGUAGAUUGCUCGCUUCUUCGUUUACAAGCUUUAAUCCUCUCCAAAUCUCUGAGCCGGUGAUCACUGAUGCAGAGUGCUGCUCGGGAGCGUUAGCAACUACGUCGUCGUCCACGCGACCUGCCCGGUCACGGUUGUGAAGUCGAAUGCCUGAUUCGCUGUGGCGUUCUCCCUAAGACAAACCUGUUUGCUUGCUUUGGUGGAUGAACAUUUAGCUCCUCAUGCUUUACUUGCUUUCUUUGGAGAAUAAGCUUCAGUGAGCAAAUAUUACCGAGUUAAUGGAUGUGUUUCUUGGAUUGUCUUAAUCGUAUUCAUCAUUCUCGUGCAAUACCAGAAUAGAAAUGCUACAGAAAUAUCCUUACAGAACUUAUUGGAAGCCUCAAUUCUUCGGGCUGCUGCCUUAAGCCCGGCAUCACAUAUAACGCCAAGAGAAGUAUGAUUGUUGUAUGCUUGCAACAAGUUGACUUUUUUGUUUGACUUGUAGACUUCUGGAGAAGCUGUCUGAU